Non-coding RNA from Ornithorhynchus anatinus (platypus), 72 nucleotides. The record is from Rfam. NCBI's taxonomy places the organism in Eukaryota, Metazoa, Chordata, Mammalia, Monotremata, Ornithorhynchidae.
GGGAGAGUGGCUUAGUGGCAAGAGCAUGGGCUUGGGGGUCAGAGGUCGUGGGUUCUAAUCCCAGCUCUGCCA